Molecule: ribosomal RNA, 140 nt
Filed under: uncultured bacterium
Lineage: Bacteria
Description: partial 16S ribosomal RNA
Rfam family: Bacterial small subunit ribosomal RNA
Source: RNAcentral
UGGGGGAUAUUGCACAAUGGGGGGGAACCCCGUGAUGCAGCGACGCCGCGUGGGUGAAGAAGCGCCUCGGCGCGUAAAGCCCUGUCAGCAGGGAAGAAAAUGACGGUACCUGAAGAAGAAGCCCCGGCUAACUACGUGCC